CAAAAAGAGAACAUGUAAAUCAAUAAAGAAUAUGUGAUUUAUCUUAUUUAAGCCCUGUGUUAAGUGUCCUGUGCAUAAAAUGUGUAUAAAUGCCUUUUUUAAUGUGUUGCUGAAAUGUUACGCUGGCCCUUUAAGAAACGGGACGGUAAUGCUGCGGGAAGUUUUUUGUUUACUUCCUGUGUACAGCGCGGUUCACAACGCAGUUUAGAGAGUGCACGUGCAGUGGGGAAUAUAGCAAUCCAACACAAAAAACAACAAAAUAAGAAUACUAUAGUGAGAUAUAGUGAAGCUAAAAGCUGUUGAGUGUUUUAUGUUAUUUGGAUGGCUGUGUAUUUUGCUGAUUGACAGCGAUUUCUUUUGAGAUACAUCUCGUGUGGUGUGUAAAUAGCACGGAAUUGGUUCUCAAAGAAGCAGGGGAGAAAGUGCUUCGUAAGCCUUCUGUGUGUUUCCUGUGAGUGUGAAGCAUCAGAGUAAGUGUUGUUUACCUUAAAUAAUUUCACAAAAGGGGUUCAUGUGUCAUGUACAUGCAUGUUUUAUUGAAAUGAGUGCAAUUAUAGUGUUGCUUUCAUGUCAUGUGUUCCAAAUGUAAAAGGAAAGUUCUGUAUUCUGUUUCUUUUAUAUAUGCAGAGAAAGAACGAGUCUUUCAUAUGCUGUGAUAGUGUGUGCAUGUGUCAGAGGGGUGAUAAAAAGUAAGUUUGAGACAUUGUAUUUUAAUUAAUUUUCUCUAUCAGCUUAUUUUGAAGUUAUUUACUGUGAUGUAACACUGAUGUUUAAGUGUAAGAGAAAGUGUUAUGUGGUGUAAUGAUACUUUUAAUGUUUGAGCUGUAUUAAUCACACAAAAAGAUGUAACAUGUUAUGAAUGACUGUGUUUUCAUGUAUUCUCAUGUUACUCAAGCAGCCUUAUUUAGUCUUCUGUGCAUUCAGGUGUUAUAUUCAUGUGUCUGUUUGUUUUCUAAAAAAGGGCUGCUACCGUUGUCUAUGUUAGCUAGUUAAACAAAGAGAAUUCUGUCUUUUACUAAUGUGAAUGGGAAAAAGGACAUACACAUUGUGAUAAGAGAAGAAAACUUUAUUUUUUUUAUUUUAUUUCCACAAACUUUAUUUACAAGCUUUACCUUUCCAUCUCUGCAACUCCAAAGUUUGCAAAAUUAACGCUGCACCGCCUAACGUGCAGUCUGAAAUAAAAGAUCCCCGUUUAAAUUUUA
Paramisgurnus dabryanus is the source of this 1202-nucleotide non-coding RNA. NCBI's taxonomy places the organism in Eukaryota, Metazoa, Chordata, Actinopteri, Cypriniformes, Cobitidae. The record is from RefSeq and is a predicted model, not a curated record.